AUGAAGAGGAUAACUUAUUCGCACCCCCCAAGCUGACCGACGAGGACUUCUCACCAUUUGGCUCUGGAGGCAGCCUGUUCAGUGGGGGCAAGGGGCUCUUUGAUUAUGAGGACGAGGAGGUGAGUCCAUGGCACUCAGCAACACUCCCUGCAGCUAGCUGUGUCAGGGGUCCACAGGGAAGAAAUAGGCUUUGCUUGUUGAGUGGGGAAAAACAGUUUCUCAGUUGGAAGUUGCUUCUAUUUUCAUAUUUUGGGACAUUUUGAACUAAGAAUCACAGAGUGAGAAAUGCCGUAUCCUUCUAUGCUUUGUUAGGUGAGGCGAAGAUGUGCACGUGUUAAUGUGAAUAAUUUACUAGGUGAUUGUUUCUUGCCUUAUCUGUUGUCUUCCAUGUUUGUUUUUAAUUCCUGGACAGGCCUAAAUUAUUUUAGAGUCUGAUUUUGCCAUAGUUAUCACUUUGCAACUGAUUUUCUGGCAGAGUAGUAAAUAUGUAGCUUUAAAUCUUGUAGGUUAUUUUUCCUUAGGAAUCCUCAAAUGCAGCUAUGCUUUCUCCUGGUUUUUUGAAUUCUUUGUCAUAUACCUUAUUUCAACCAGAGUGACCUCUUCACGGAAGCCCCCCAGGAUCGGCAUACCCCUUGCUUUCUCAUUCUAGAGUCUUCAUCAUCCAAACCUGGAAAGAAAAUCCUAGCAGGAGCUGUUUCUGUAUUUUUAGGAGACACGGAUGUGCUGCCUCCGUUCCAUCACUGAAGGAGCCACAGAAGCCUGAGCAGCCCACUCCAAGGAAAAGCCCCUACGUUCCCCUCCCACUGGCCUCUUUGAUGAUGAUGAUGGUGAUGAUGAUGACGACUUUUUCUCGACACCCCACAGCAAGCCUUCCAAAACAGGUAUGUGUUCCUGCCUCUGUGUCUAGGACUUCAGCCAGAAAAAGAAUGUUGCCUAAAUGGAAGAUAAGCUCACCUAGUUCUGUAUCUCUUAUAGUACCAGAAUCCCUUCUCCAGCAUUCCUGUCAUUGAGCUGUUGUGUCUGUACUUACAUAGGUGUGGUGCCUGGGAGGUCUGUUUUAUGACCCAAUCUUUUCUGCUCUGUAAGCUAAUUACUAUGAUUAUUUUCCUUAUAG
This 1114-nucleotide long non-coding RNA is filed under the name Pan troglodytes (chimpanzee). RNAcentral describes it as "lncRNA (ENSPTRG00000054138.1)". The record is from RNAcentral. Lineage: Eukaryota; Metazoa; Chordata; Mammalia; Primates; Hominidae.